GAUGAACGCUGGCGGCGUGCCUAACACAUGCAAGUCGAACGGAGUCCAGCCUUUAAGACCUUCGGGUCAAAGAGGGGAAGACUGAGUGGCGGACGGGUGAGUAACACGUGGGCAACCUGGCUCAUAGAGGGGGAUAACAGAGAGAAAUUUCUGCUAAUACCGCAUAAGCACACACUGCCGCAUGGCAGAGGGUGAAAAGAGAAUCGCUAUGAGAUGGACCCGCGUCUGAUUAGCCAGUUGGCAGGGUAAGAGCCUACCAAAGCGACGAUCAGUAGCCGAUCUGAGAGGAUGAACGGCCACAUUGGGACUGGGACACGGCCCAAACUCCUACGGGAGGCAGCAGUGGGGGAUAUUGCACAAUGGGGGGAACCCUGAUGCAGCGACGCCGCGUGAGUGAAGAAGUAUUUCGGUAUGUAAAGCUCUAUCAGCAGGGAAGAUAAUGACAGUACCUGAAGAAGAAGCCCCGGCUAACUACGUG
This 478-nucleotide ribosomal RNA is filed under the name uncultured bacterium. RNAcentral describes it as "partial 16S ribosomal RNA". It matches the Rfam family "Bacterial small subunit ribosomal RNA", at positions 28 to 507 of the family's 1533-position model. The record is from RNAcentral.